This 356-nucleotide long non-coding RNA is filed under the name Amborella trichopoda. RNAcentral's name for it is "long non-coding RNA (ATRI_LNC001818)". The record is from RNAcentral. Lineage: Eukaryota; Viridiplantae; Streptophyta; Magnoliopsida; Amborellales; Amborellaceae.
AACCCACAAAACCUCCAAAACUAGACUUCGAUAAUUUUUUGCAAACCCUACUAUUUAACAUCAAGCAACCCCCGGAAGCUUCAACAUAGUCCCAUCCCCGCAGUGUAUAGCUUGGUGGAACCCCGCCAGCUCCUCUCUUCUCUCCCUUUCACCAGCAUAUAUAGUAGAACUACUAGUCGCAACUGGAAGAUCUGGCCACUCAUCCAUAACACAACGAUAUGGCAGCAGUUCGACUCCUCGCUACUACUAUAUGAUGUAUGAGCACCUCUUUCACAUGGCCAGCUCUCAUAUAUACAAGGUCUAAUACUCCCUAGGCCCCACCCACCGUUCGACUACUUAUACUAUAACCAACACAG